GCUGCGAUGGCCGAGUGGUUAAGGCGUUCGACUCGAAAUCCAAUGGGAUAUUCCCGCGCAGGUUCAAAUCCCGCCCGUAGCG
Molecule: transfer RNA, 82 nt
Filed under: Lottia gigantea (owl limpet)
Lineage: Eukaryota; Metazoa; Mollusca; Gastropoda; Lottiidae
Description: tRNA-Ser for anticodon CGA
Rfam family: tRNA
About the family: Transfer RNA (tRNA) molecules are approximately 80 nucleotides in length. Their secondary structure includes four short double-helical elements and three loops (D, anti-codon, and T loops).
Source: Rfam by way of RNAcentral